AUCCAUCUGACGAGUCCCAAAUAGGACGAAACGCGCGUCCUGGAA
Molecule: non-coding RNA, 45 nt
Filed under: Schistosoma mansoni
Lineage: Eukaryota; Metazoa; Platyhelminthes; Trematoda; Strigeidida; Schistosomatidae
Also listed under: 1 other name
Source: RNAcentral